Molecule: ribosomal RNA, 292 nt
Filed under: uncultured bacterium
Lineage: Bacteria
Description: partial 16S ribosomal RNA
Rfam family: Bacterial small subunit ribosomal RNA
Source: RNAcentral
GUGCCAGCAGCCGCGGUAAUACGUAGGGGGCAAGCGUUAUCCGGAUUUACUGGGCGUAAAGCGCGUUAAGGCGGCCGGCUAAGUUGGUGGUGAAAUUCCAGGGCUCAACCCUGGAACUGCCUCCAAUACUGGUCGGCUCGAGUGCGGGAGAGGAAGGUGGAAUUCCCGGUGUAGUAGUGAAAUGCGUAGAUAUCGGGAGGAACACCAGUGGCGAAGGCGGCCUUCUGGCCCGCAACUGACGCUGUAGCGCGAAAGCGUGGGGAGCGAACGGGAUUAGAUACCCCCGUAGUCC